This is a non-coding RNA of Chiloscyllium plagiosum (whitespotted bambooshark), 880 nucleotides long. The record is from RefSeq and is a predicted model, not a curated record. Lineage: Eukaryota; Metazoa; Chordata; Chondrichthyes; Orectolobiformes; Hemiscylliidae.
GACGGAAUCAAAACAAACCCAGCAACAAAACUGAAGGGGAGAAGAGUGGGGGGGGUGGGGAAGGAUUGCUUCAAGGAUCUAGGUGUAGCGAACUUUUUCAGGAACCUGCUACAAACAUCAGCAUUAAGAAGAUACAGUAAUUUUCAGUACAAUGUGGGGGAGGCUCAGAACUAAGCUGCCAAGAUAAUGUGGUGAACCUCGAGGACCAGGCUAAGAUGCACUGCUUGGAGCCACUCACUGAUUUUUAGUGACUUAAGAAAUCAAAGACGUGAGAGAGAAGUGACUUCUGUGAUGUCCUGUUUGCAAAUGGGAGAAAUGGGACUUUCCAGGCUUCCCACAACAUUAUGCUGCCAGGCCUGCUGAGUUUCUCCAGCAUCUGUGUGUGUUUCAGAUCUUCAGCAUCUGCAGGAUGAGGCAUUUGCUUACCAAAGAAAAUGCUCUGUUUGGACUUCACUAGAAAACCCCUGAAUCCCACCUCCACAGUCAAUUGAUAUCUCUUGGCAUUACCACGCAAAACUAAAAGUGUAUAGAACUGAGGAGAAAGGAUAUCCUUUGCAAAUAAGAUGCAAAGCAAAUAGACUGUGAAAUUGCCCAAUUCCCCUACGUUUGUAACUUUGAAAAAUAGUUACUGACAAUUAUUUAAAUAAAUUAUAAAAUGAAAGACAGACUGGUGAAUAUCAUGUAAAUGAUUGAAUAUUUCAUAAUUCGCGCUGACAACACAUGGGCUUUAAUACAAAGCACAGAUUACAGGCGCCUUUUCAUUCUGUAAAUGAAUGACAUGCAUUUAUUCAAAAUAUGUAAACAAGGGAAGAAAAUUAACAAGGCCCAUAAUAUUAUAAAUGUGCAAUCCUUCUAUUAAAAAAUCGUUUGCAAUUGUGAA